Panicum virgatum (switchgrass) is the source of this 1426-nucleotide long non-coding RNA. RefSeq lists it as uncharacterized. The record is from RefSeq and is a predicted model, not a curated record. The transcript has 3 exons. Lineage: Eukaryota; Viridiplantae; Streptophyta; Magnoliopsida; Poales; Poaceae.
CCUGCUCUUGCUUUCCUUUCUUGUCUUCAAUUGUUUGCCAGAUCUUGGAUAAAAAAAAGGUUACUCUUUGUUGUUAAUCGUGGCUUGUCAUUUGCUCAUUAAAAUUACUGCUACCUGAUGAUGGAUGGAUCAUGGAGAGAUAAAUCGAUUUAUCUUCUAUCAUCUUUCGCCUGCUAUUAUGUUGCCGUGGUAUAAUCUGCUACUCUGCUAUGUUCUGAAUGUUCCUAGCUUUUCAGCCUUCCAUGCUCUAAGUUUGCGUCUCCAAAUUCAGGCUCUUGGGAGCCAGAUAGUAGGAAGUGCUGAUGCUGGACAAAAUAUCAUUAAGGAACCUCAACUUGUAGCUCCCCAAAAUGAAAGAAAUGAUCAAGUUCGUUCAAAGAAAUGAUAACGGCGUCAAAGGAGGAGUACGAGCAACUUCCUCCCUACAUGAAGAGUCUAGCAUCCUGGGAGGUCUGAAUUUCUUACCCACUUGGACGCCCAUAGAACUUUAUGCAUGCUGGAUAUGCAUAGUCAUAAAAUUACAACAUGUGUUUCUUGAAAUUAGUAACUUUACUCUCUAAGUAAUAAGUAAAUCAGUUGAAGACAAAUAUUCUGCAACAUCUUCACUUGCUAUUUCCUCAAAUUAUUGCUUUUUUUCUUUGUCUUCUUGAUCCAAAAUGGACUCGUGGUGUCGUGAUUCAUGAGCCAGGGCAAUAGCUAUGUUAUCAGUGUGGUCUGCCUCAGAGUUGCGCUGUUUUGUUCCAUUAGGAAUUGCAGGAUGGAAUAUGCGAAUUAAAUUCAUACUUUGGCAGUAACAAUGCAUUGAAUCAAAAUGAUACUAGAGCAAUAGGACUUGGUAUGUGCAGUUACUUCUCUUCGCCUGUAAAUUUGGAAAUUUCACAUGUUAUAGCACUCUGAACAAAAAACUUUUUGUCAGGUUGUUUCAUUGCCACAUGCUCUUGAGGAAUUUCUGGUUGUGUUAUGGUAGUUAGCCAUGGUUCUUACAUGUGGCAAAAUUACACUCUUUGAGAAUAACAAUCGUGGUUUUCAAAUAUUAAUUUUUGGAAGUAUUGUGACAUAAGGCUUGAGAAUUUAUUCUUAAAUGUGUGAAUUUCAUCCUAAAUUUCUUUAAAAUAAAUCCACUAAUGCAUUUGUGAUGAUGCCUUCAUGCAACAGCAAAGAAAAUUGAAAAGAAAAUGAAAGGUGUUGAUCUAAAUGUUCAUGCACCUGUCAUCCUUAUGUUAGAAAAAGUCAUUCAUUAUUUUCACAUCCCAGGAACAAUAGGAGUUUGAGUACAUAUACACAAUUUAGACUGCCACUAUGCUGUAUAGAGUACACGAGUACCAUAAUGCACACCCUGCACCUGUAUUUCCUUAUACUCAUUUGUGGUCUUUGUGAUAGGUUUUGACUUUGGAGUAUAAUGCCUGUAUCAUGACCUCAUUGUGCA